RNAcentral lists this ribosomal RNA (2332 nucleotides) under Campylobacter jejuni. Its description in RNAcentral is "partial 23S ribosomal RNA". It matches the Rfam family "Bacterial large subunit ribosomal RNA", at positions 733 to 2925 of the family's 2925-position model. Lineage: Bacteria; Pseudomonadati; Campylobacterota; Epsilonproteobacteria; Campylobacterales; Campylobacteraceae. The record is from RNAcentral.
UCCAUGAGCAAGUUGAAGCUAGUGUAAGAACUAGUGGAGGACUGAACCCAUAGGCGUUGAAAAGCCCCGGGAUGACUUGUGGAUAGGGGUGAAAGGCCAAUCAAACUUCGUGAUAGCUGGUUCUCUCCGAAAUAUAUUUAGGUAUAGCGUUGUGUCGUAAUAUAAGGGGGUAGAGCACUGAAUGGGCUAGGGCAUACACCAAUGUACCAAACCCUAUCAAACUCCGAAUACCUUAUAUGUAAUCACAGCAGUCAGGCGGCGAGUGAUAAAAUCCGUCGUCAAGAGGGAAACAACCCAGACUACCAGCUAAGGUCCCUAAAUCUUACUUAAGUGGAAAACGAUGUGAAGUUACUUAAACAACCAGGAGGUUGGCUUAGAAGCAGCCAUCCUUUAAAGAAAGCGUAAUAGCUCACUGGUCUAGUGAUUUUGCGCGGAAAAUAUAACGGGGCUAAAGUAAGUACCGAAGCUGUAGACUUGCGCACAACUUAGAUUAUUUAAGUUUAGAAUAUGAGAAACUAAGUUAUAUUUUUACUGAUUUUUAUAGAGUAAAGAUAGAAAUAAAACUUAGUAAAAUCAGUAAAAAUAUUCUUAGGCUAAAGUUAAGUAGUUUAAGUUGUGUGCAAGUGGUAGGAGAGCGUUCUAUUUGCGUCGAAGGUAUACCGGUAAGGAGUGCUGGAGCGAAUAGAAGUGAGCAUGCAGGCAUGAGUAGCGAUAAUUAAUGUGAGAAUCAUUAACGCCGUAAACCCAAGGUUUCCUACGCGAUGCUCGUCAUCGUAGGGUUAGUCGGGUCCUAAGUCGAGUCCGAAAGGGGUAGACGAUGGCAAAUUGGUUAAUAUUCCAAUACCAACAUUAGUGUGCGAUGGAAGGACGCUUAGGGCUAAGGGGGCUAGCGGAUGGAAGUGCUAGUCUAAGGUCGUAGGAGGUUAUACAGGCAAAUCCGUAUAACAAUACUCCGAGAACUGAAAGGCUUUUUGAAGUCUUCGGAUGGAUAGAAGAACCCCUGAUGCCGUCGAGCCAAGAAAAGUUUCUAAGUUUAGCUAAUGUUGCCCGUACCGUAAACCGACACAGGUGGGUGGGAUGAGUAUUCUAAGGCGCGUGGAAGAACUCUCUUUAAGGAACUCUGCAAAAUAGCACCGUAUCUUCGGUAUAAGGUGUGGUUAGCUUUGUAUUAGGAUUUACUCCGAAAGCGAAGAAACUUACAACAAAGAGUCCCUCCCGACUGUUUACCAAAAACACAGCACUCUGCUAACUCGUAAGAGGAUGUAUAGGGUGUGACGCCUGCCCGGUGCUCGAAGGUUAAUUGAUGGGGUUAGCAUUAGCGAAGCUCUUGAUCGAAGCCCGAGUAAACGGCGGCCGUAACUAUAACGGUCCUAAGGUAGCGAAAUUCCUUGUCGGUUAAAUACCGACCUGCAUGAAUGGCGUAACGAGAUGGGAGCUGUCUCAAAGAGGGAUCCAGUGAAAUUGUAGUGGAGGUGAAAAUUCCUCCUACCCGCGGCAAGACGGAAAGACCCCGUGGACCUUUACUACAGCUUGACACUGCUAUUUGGAUAAGAAUGUGCAGGAUAGGUGGGAGGCUUUGAGUAUAUGACGCCAGUUGUAUAGGAGCCAUUGUUGAGAUACCACUCUUUCUUAUUUGGGUAGCUAACCAGCUUGAGUUAUCCUCAAGUGGGACAAUGUCUGGUGGGUAGUUUGACUGGGGCGGUCGCCUCCCAAAUAAUAACGGAGGCUUACAAAGGUUGGCUCAGAACGGUUGGAAAUCGUUCAUAGAGUAUAAAGGUAUAAGCCAGCUUAACUGCAAGACAUACAAGUCAAGCAGAGACGAAAGUCGGUCUUAGUGAUCCGGUGGUUCUGUGUGGAAGGGCCAUCGCUCAAAGGAUAAAAGGUACCCCGGGGAUAACAGGCUGAUCUCCCCCAAGAGCUCACAUCGACGGGGAGGUUUGGCACCUCGAUGUCGGCUCAUCGCAUCCUGGGGCUGGAGCAGGUCCCAAGGGUAUGGCUGUUCGCCAUUUAAAGCGGUACGCGAGCUGGGUUCAGAACGUCGUGAGACAGUUCGGUCCCUAUCUGCCGUGGGCGUAAGAAGAUUGAAGAGAUUUGACCCUAGUACGAGAGGACCGGGUUGAACAAACCACUGGUGUAGCUGUUGUUCUGCCAAGAGCAUCGCAGCGUAGCUAAGUUUGGAAAGGAUAAACGCUGAAAGCAUCUAAGCGUGAAGCCAACUCUAAGAUGAAUCUUCUCUAAGCUCUCUAGAAGACUACUAGUUUGAUAGGCUGGGUGUGUAAUGGAUGAAAGUCCUUUAGCUGACCAGUACUAAUAGAGCGUUUGGCUUAUCUUU